UACGUAGGGUGCGAGCGUUGUCCGGAAUUAUUGGGCGUAAAGGGCUCGUAGGCGGUUUGUCGCGUCGGGAGUGAAAACACUGGGCUUAACCGAGUGCUUGCUUUCGAUACGGGCAGACUUGAGGCAUUGAGGGGAGAACGGAAUUCCAGGUGUAGCGGUGAAAUGCGUAGAUAUCUGGAGGAAUACCGGUGGCGAAGGCGGCAUCCUGGACCGGCAUUGACGCUGAGGAGCGAAAGCUAGGGGAGCAAACGGG
Molecule: ribosomal RNA, 253 nt
Filed under: uncultured bacterium
Lineage: Bacteria
Description: partial 16S ribosomal RNA
Rfam family: Bacterial small subunit ribosomal RNA
Source: RNAcentral